UUGCAGACGACUUAAAUA
This 18-nucleotide small nuclear RNA is filed under the name Arabidopsis thaliana (thale cress). RNAcentral describes it as "snRNA_04396". The record is from RNAcentral. Lineage: Eukaryota; Viridiplantae; Streptophyta; Magnoliopsida; Brassicales; Brassicaceae.